UUAAUAAUUAAUAAGAUAUUGGUCCUUCCUGAUCACCACAUAAGAAGGUUAAGUGCUGGUUCCGCCUGCAUUUUUCAUGUUUUGUGGCUUUCCUAUUUCAGUGCCGCUGUUAUUAUCCUUUUUCCGGGGCUAACCCAUUCUUCAGUCUGCCCUCGAUUCUUCACCCUGCUUAUAAUUGCUCUAUUGUUUCUAAUAAAUGCAGCUUGAGGAAAGAUCUUUGAGGCUGUGUCACGAACAGCUCAGCUCCAAGCUGUGUUACCUAACCAG
Molecule: long non-coding RNA, 267 nt
Organism: Thalassophryne amazonica
Lineage: Eukaryota; Metazoa; Chordata; Actinopteri; Batrachoidiformes; Batrachoididae
Exons: 2
Source: RefSeq, a predicted model, not a curated record